Non-coding RNA from Polypterus senegalus (gray bichir), 391 nucleotides. NCBI's taxonomy places the organism in Eukaryota, Metazoa, Chordata, Cladistia, Polypteriformes, Polypteridae. The record is from the annotation of a RefSeq genome assembly.
UACAGAAUCUACAGUCACAAUGACUCCUUUCAAUGUCCUCCUGAUUGUACUUGUAUUCUGCAUUCAUGACUCAAGAUGUCAGAUUUCUGUAACUCAGCCAUCAGCACCAAAGUCAGUAUCCAUUGGAGGGAGCGUCACCUUCAGCUGUACCACUGGGAGUGAUGUGAGUAACUACUUGAACUGGUAUCAGCAGAGACCUGGAGAAAAACCUAAAAUCCUCAUCUACAAUACAAACAAUCGCUACACUGACACCCCGAGUCGAUUCACUGGCAGUGGGUCAGGAACUUCAUACAGUAUGACCAUCAGUGGAGUCCAGUCUGAAGAUGCAGGUCACUACUACUGUCAGCAACAUAAAAGCUUCCCUUUCCCACAGUGAUUGAGACUCGUACAA